This is a non-coding RNA of Paramormyrops kingsleyae, 1394 nucleotides long. The record is from RefSeq and is a predicted model, not a curated record. NCBI's taxonomy places the organism in Eukaryota, Metazoa, Chordata, Actinopteri, Osteoglossiformes, Mormyridae.
CUGACUGUAAACACAAUGUCUGUUACAGGUAUGAAUACUGACAGCACUUCUGUGCCUCCAUCAUCAUGGUACAUUGUGCUGAUACUUGGCAUUCUCUGUCUCUGCCUCUGCAUUGGUUUCAUCUAUUUUGUAAGACACAGAGGAAAAAAUUCAGAGGGGGAGCUGGGCCCGGAUGGAGCAAACACUGAGUACAUGGUGCCACCGACCGCAGAGAAAGCAUUUCCCCCAAAUACCCCUCAGGAUAACACUGUGUACUGCACUGUGGGACACCCAAAGGACCUGCCCCCAGGACCACCCCCACCAGCUCACUGUGAUGACACAAGUAUUUACAGUCAGGUGAAAAAAUAACAUGGACUUUUCUACAGAAUGACUGCUGGCUGGAACUUUUUAGCUCAUGCCUGUGAUGCUACUUCCUUUGCAGUGGGUCUGUCUGUACUGUGAAUGUUCAUGCACUUUUCAGCUCAUGCAUGUGACAUGUCCUGCUUAGCAAAGAGUCUGUGUGCACAUUGCGAUGCAUCAGAGUGUAAUGUGGACAAUGUGAUGUGUUACCUGCCAACAUGCAUGAGGAGGUGAUUUGUACAUUAAUGUCAGUGUUAAUCAUCUGCACUAAGCAUGAUGCAUUUAUAACUGUUUAGCAGAUGUUUGUUAUCCAAAGAGACAUCCAAUAAAACAGACAGCAGGCAGUCCUUAGAGCUAUUGGGGUUAAGGUCUCAGCUCAGGGUUUGAAGCCGUUUGCUACUGAGUCCUAACCGACUGAUCCUCACCAACAGCGUGUUUGUGUGUCAGGGAGUGAGCUUGUCUGGCUAGGAGUUUAUACACCAAGCUGCGUGAGUAUUAAUGUGUAAGAAAUCCUGCUAGCAUUGCUGGGGUAGAUAACUGCAAGUGCUGUUUAUGGUGGAAAAAAGUUAAUUUCAGUAUUUCAUUUUGCAGCUAAUACUUAUUUUGUGUGAAAUUGGGAAAAACUGAUUUUAAUCUUUUUAAGCUGUCAUACAGAAAACAAGCCAGCAGCUACUUCCCCUUUUAUUUUAUUGCCACUUGCAGACACAGACCAAUAAUCAGUUCUUACUGCUUACUGAUUACCGGAUAUAGCAGCAUAUGCAGGCUGACAUUUUCAAUGCAAUGUCAAUCGGAAGUGUUUCAUCUAUUUCAUAGAUUACUGUAUUGUCUGGUUGUAAAAGAGUUAAGAUGUACAAGGUUAGGAAUGAUUUAGGUGGAUGUAUGUAUGUAUUUGAGCCUAUAUAUAUAUAAUUUUGAGCCUGUGUGGAUUUUAGAAAAUCUAAAAUAUAUUCAAACUAUAUUCUUGUUUUAAAAAAUCACUGAAGAUAUAUGUUGUAUAAUCUUUCCACCCUGUAAAAAAUAACGGUACAAAUAAAUCAUUAAAAGCCCAAAAUUAA